AAUCAACUAAUUAAAAAUUUAUAAUUAUGGAAAAAAAAACAAUUUUUGUUUCAAAUGAAUAUUUUUUCAAAUAAUUGCGCGAUUGUAAACCCGUGCGCGCUUUUGCUCAUCGGAAAAUGCCGGAUUUGCUGACACGUGGCGCCAUCCUAUACGCAUUUAUUUAGUAUGUGUAUAUGCUACAUUCAUUACUUUAUUUCAUUAAUAUUUUCGUUUUCAAGUUGGUUUGAACGCCGCUGGGUUGGAUCCAGCAACAGGCGAUCCCAUUAAACGAUUAAACGAUAAUGUAUUACAAGCGACUUAAACGACAAUUACGUGGCAAUUCAAAUUAUUUUAUUGUAUUUAUUUAUUUAUUUAUUUUUUUUUUUUAAAGAAUACCAAUUGUAUUGAUGUUUGGGAUUUGAAACAAAUGAAUUUAUUAAAAGAACUAUAAAAUGUGAUUGGUGGUUGACUCAGCGAGAUCUGCAGAACUCGAUACUAACGCAGAGUGUGCAAACUCAAGCACUUUGACUUGACUCGGGCACAUGUUGUGCCAAGUCAGGGAAAACGCAAGCAUCCGUAUGAAUAAAAAAAACGAUAAAGAAAAUAAACGAGAGAAGAUAAAGAGAGAUAAAGAUGAGGAAGGAUUAGAGUAUACAAAAAUAACCGGAGAUUAAAUUCUUGCAAUGACAAGUGAGAAAUAGUUAAUUAUCCGGAAGUGUGGUAAUGAAUAUAAGUUGAUCUGGCAUUAUAAAAUAGAAAUUCAAUUGUGGAGUAGCAUAAAUAUAUAAACUGCAGGUGUAGCAGGAGAGUUUUUCCAGGUUUACAGGGGUGAGGGCUGAGAGGUAAAGCAUCAAGCUUGGAAUUAAGAGGGGAGAUAGCCGUCCAGUACGAGGGCGAAGUUAUCCAAUUAUUGUCUAACCAGGGAGCAACUUUGCUUCACCAACUGAGAGAGUGAGAAAGUAAAAGGGAGAGAGUAAGAGAGGGAGCCCACUCGCUAGUUAGAGGGCAUGAGGAAAGAGAUUUACCCCUACUAUACCGUCAUCAGCAUUCUGCCACCCCCGUAGCGGCAAUAAACUAAAAGUUUGUUCUCGGUACUUGUUUCGUUACAUUCUACCAGGACAAACUUUAUACGGUACUUGUAGAUUAAUAUCACUGACACGGACCCGCUGGCUGGACAACUGGAUAUACCGAAAGACUUUAAACGAGUAGUGAUAGUAGUAGUAGUUAACGAAAAAAUAAAAUGAAAUAAACUAAGGUAAGGUAAAGAGGCAGGGUACCGACUACUUAAAGUUUGCGGAAAGUUUAGUUUGGCAGCAAAGUUAACUCAGUUGAGUUCUCUCGCUAAAGCAAAACUUUACUUCUCCCACUCUCUUUCCUCAUGACUCUUUUCUAAAUCGAAAGCGUAAUUCUCUGGCCGUUAUAGAGACACGUCACGGGAUAUAUGUCUUUGUUGUUUUUUUUUUUUUUAUUUUAUUUUAUUUUUUUAAAUUCUCAAUUACAAUGUCCCCGACAUAAUGACGGAGUGUUUAAACAAAGACUACUAUAUAAAUAUAUAAUGACGUAGCGGGACAUAACAUAUACAGCAGGGUGAGAUUAAGUGUGAAAAACAUAAAAGGUUGUAUUUGGGAGUAAAGAAUAGACGGUAGUGUAACGCGUUGAGAGAAGUACAUAUACAUAGUAAAGCCUGAUACUUUGAUGGAGUUUCUCGUGGUGGAAUGGCAUCUUGACUCAUAGUAUAGUUGAGUGUGGCAAGCAAUGGCCGGCCCGAUCGAUGUCCCGGCAACUUCCCACCCUCGACAGUCGGUGUAGCUCGUCGUCGUCGUCGUCGUAGUCUCUCCCUCUUUUACUCUCUACUAUUUCUCUCUCACUCACUCUCUCUUUAUACUCUUCACUCUUCUCUCAUCGCUCUUCGCCCUUCUCACAUCCUAGCCUGUUCCGCCAUCGGCCCCUCCUCACCCAGACUCUUCCGCGAAAUCCCGGAGAGCUGCUUACCGCUCGAUUCUGUUUACAAUGGAUGCGCUACCCUUCCAUUACAUAUAACUAACUCAUAUAUACAUAUAUAUGUGUACAUACAAUAUGCCAUUCCAUUCGCAUUUAUGCUCUUCUCAUGUAGCUGCACUCCCUCUCUCUCUCUCUCAUCUCAACUGAGUUUACGUAAAGACGGGAAAGUAGGUAAGCACAGAACUGAGGAGCAAGUAUAUAACGGCGACCAAAUAGCCGUAGGGAGGUGAAUAAUAGUGAUGGUGAUGACUAUCCGUGGUUUAAUGUCUUUGAGAGGUUGUCUCAGGUCAGUUAGCCUGCAUAAAAGAAACUGAAAGAGCACGCAUCAGUAGCAAAAAAAAAAUCACUUCGUUUUCUCUUUUUUUUUAUAAUGAAGAGGAUGGAAAAAUUAGUUAGUCAAUCGAAAUGUAUAAAUGAAAAUGUGUACCAGAAGAUCGGAACGUUUUUCGCGAAACAGAAAAUGAAAAAAAAAAUUACUGGAUCUAGAUUUCCGGAAUGUCGCAUGAGUGCUGGUCAGCCGAAAAUUGCAGCCACUCCAAAUUAGCCCCAGUCACCUUAAGCAGCAAAAUAACAAAUUUUUUAAAUUAUCAUUGCGUGAAAAACGUUUUGAUCUUCAGGUACAUAAUGAAAAUAAUAUCAGGAUAAUUACAUUAUCACAAGUACUCUCUGAGAGGAUAUGAAUUGAGUAAAGAUAUUGAUGAUUAAUACAAAAUGAUAAAGGGCGAGGGCACCUGUUACAACUUAAAUCGUUUAUAAAGAAACGUUAAAACAGUUGCGGAAGCAUUAUCUCCGCCGGAUAUAUUCAAACUCUAUCUCUUUCUCGUUAAUGCUUACUCUCUGAUAUAACCUCCGGAAGCUGUUCUGAUAAAAUUUAUACACCAUCUCAAUAAGGCUAUUUUUUUUUUUUUUUAAUAUCAAUAUAAUUCCUAAGGGUUAAAUAUUUUUUUUAAAAUUUAUGCUACAAACUUUUUUCAUUAUCGAUUGACCAACUUUUGUACCGUAUUAUUGUUAUUGUAUAAAGUUUUAAUGUCCAUUGUUACGCUGAUAUUUUUCUUUAAAAAAAUCUAAAAUGUAUCAUAUAUAUAAAAGUAAUAAAAUAACAUAAGUAUGAAGAAAAAAAAAAUGUUGCGUAGCAAAUGCAGGUCAGUUCAUUGCUGAAUAAGCAGUUACCGUUGUCACCCGGUGUUGUUGUCGUCGUCAACGUCGUCGUCUACGUUGAGUAAAUUACGUAAGGCCAGUGUAGUAUAGAACAAGAGCUUGUUUGAAUACUAAAGGCUUUCCUCGUUUUAGCCACUAGUGUUUCACUGGGUUGCAAUAAGAGUAUGCUGGGUAUGCUAUAUAAUAUAUGUACAUGCUGAUCUAAACACAUUUAUAAAUGCGCGGGUACACGCAAUAGUCUGUACAUGUAUAGCAGUAUGUACACAUAUAUACAUAUUAUUAUAUAUAUAUAUAUAUAACAGUAGUUGAUACUGAAGCAAGUGAAGAGAAGAGAGGAACAAACUUGAAACUUGGUUUUAUAGUGGGGGAGAUUCAAUGAAGGGUAAAGCAAGUGCGACAUUGUGCCACUCAAGUGGCGUUUAUUUUGCGUUUAGUUUGGCGAAAGUUACGCAAAGAUUUAUCCGAGGUCACCAUUAUCCAGUUUCGAGUUUAAAUGAGAUCUAGGCUACUUCGCUGUGUAUAGAGCAAUCUUUUUAACGAUCAACGUUGCUUUGACCUUUAACCUUUACAUUUUCAAUAAAUACAUACAUAUAUGUAUAUAUAUAUUUUAUAUUUAUACAUAUAUGUACAUGACAUGAGUUCAUGUGCACUAAAUACCGGAGUAAUAAAUUUCCAAUAUAUCAUUUUUAUUUUUAUAAUAGAUUUAUGGUUUAGUGGAAUAAACUUUUUAUUUAUG
Molecule: long non-coding RNA, 3874 nt
Organism: Microplitis demolitor
Lineage: Eukaryota; Metazoa; Arthropoda; Insecta; Hymenoptera; Braconidae
Exons: 6
Source: RefSeq, a predicted model, not a curated record